AAAAUAUAAUUGUGGCGAUUAAAAACUUUUUCAUUUAUGAUGGUCUAGAAAAGUCCCCUUCUUUUAAAGUUGUUCAAACUAUAAUCAAUUUUCCCCAUAAAGUUCUCCUUUUUAAAAGAUAAGUGUUUAGUGUUUAUUUAUUACAAUGUAGUCUCUUAAGAUAAGUUUGAGAGAAUAAUCAUAGACAACAAUGGGGCAAACUCAUCUUAUUUAGGGGGGUGUUAAAUGAAAUUAAAGCAUGUUUAUGUUUCUUGGCGAAAAAAGUAAUACAGUGGCGAAAAAUAUUGUUUUGGAGAAAAAGAUGGCGAAAAAAAUAAUUGACCCAGGGGAAAACCUGAUUGUUACCUAUACUAUAUAUAGCUACGACUCAUAAGGGGGUAAAACAAUUCAAAGAAGAAAACUAGCUGGCUAAAUUAUGAACAAAAUAAUGAAAGGAAAACAAAUGUGGUACACAGUAACAAACCACAACCACUAAUUUACAGGCUACUGACUGGGGACAGGCACAUAGAAAAUGUGACAGGGGUAUACUGGUUAUUUAGCGCCAGCUUCUGUGGAGAGGACUUACAUAGGCUAUGCCUGUUGCCCAAUCCAAUUCAAUUUAUUUGAAUAAAAUAUUGUUUAAACUAAACUAGCGC
This 635-nucleotide long non-coding RNA is filed under the name Mytilus galloprovincialis (Mediterranean mussel). The record is from RNAcentral. Lineage: Eukaryota; Metazoa; Mollusca; Bivalvia; Mytilida; Mytilidae.